RNAcentral lists this ribosomal RNA (460 nucleotides) under uncultured bacterium. RNAcentral's name for it is "partial 16S ribosomal RNA". It matches the Rfam family "Bacterial small subunit ribosomal RNA", at positions 338 to 795 of the family's 1533-position model. The record is from RNAcentral.
CCUACGGGAGGCAGCAGUGAGGAAUAUUGGUCAAUGGACGAGAGUCUGAACCAGCCAAGUAGCGUGAAGGAUGACUGCCCUAUGGGUUGUAAACUUCUUUUAUAUGGGAAUAAAAUGUUCAAAGUGUGGGAUUUUGUAUGUACCAUAUGAAUAAGGAUCGGCUAACUCAGUGCCAGCAGCCCCGGUAAGACGGCGGAUCGGAGCGUUAUUCGGAUUUAUUGGGUUUAAAGGGAGCGUAGGGGGAUUGUUAAGUCAGGUGUGAAAGUUUGGGGCUCAACCGUAACAUUGCAUUUGAAACUAGCAGUCUUGAGUACAGUAGAGGUAGGCGGAAUUCGAGGUGUAGCGGUGAAAUGCUUAGAUAUCACGAAGAACUCCGAUUGCGAAGGCAGCUCACUGGACUGCAACUGACACUGAGGCUCGAAAGUGUGGGGAUCAAACAGGAUUAGAUACCCUGGUAGUC